This 296-nucleotide ribosomal RNA is filed under the name uncultured Vagococcus sp. Its description in RNAcentral is "partial 16S ribosomal RNA". It matches the Rfam family "Bacterial small subunit ribosomal RNA", at positions 28 to 290 of the family's 1533-position model. Lineage: Bacteria; Bacillati; Bacillota; Bacilli; Lactobacillales; Enterococcaceae. The record is from RNAcentral.
GACGAACGCUGGCGGCGUGCCUAAUACAUGCAAGUCGAACGCUUCUUUUUCUACCGAGUUGCUUGCAACUCACCGAAUAAGAAGAGUGGCGGACGGGUGAGUAACACGUGGGUAACCUGCCCAUUAGGAGGGGGAUAACACUUGGAAACAGGUGCUAAUACCGCAUAAUUCUUUUAACCGCAUGGUUGAAAGAUGAAACGACGCUUUACGGGUGUCACUAAUGGAUCGGACCCGCGGUGCUAUUAGGUUAGUUGGUAAGGGUAACUGGACCUACCAAGACCGUGAUGCAUAGCCGA